GCCAACAGAAGGGACUGAGGGACUACUGCAACAACCACUAUUGAGACCCCCUUCUCCAGUGGUGCAAUCUGAACCAUGUUUGCAAAAUGAGAUGGCACCUCCAGGGUUCGAGAAUUUUAAGUCAUCAUCUGAACCAUGUUCAGCAGAGGAGAUAGCACCUCCAGGGUCCGAUAAUUUCAAAUCAUCAUCUGAACCAUGUUUACCAGAGGAGAUGGCACCUCCAGGGUUUGAAAAUUUUAAGUCAUCAUCUGAACCAUGUUCACAAGAGGAGAUGGCACCUCCAGGGUUUGAGAAUUUUAAGUCAUCAUGGCCACCACUUCCCACUCUGCCCCAAACUGUACCAGAUGCAGCCGCAGCGGAUGCUUUGGCAGCAAC
This 375-nucleotide long non-coding RNA is filed under the name Oryza sativa (Asian cultivated rice). RNAcentral describes it as "long non-coding RNA (OSAT_LNC000977)". The record is from RNAcentral. Lineage: Eukaryota; Viridiplantae; Streptophyta; Magnoliopsida; Poales; Poaceae.